GUGGGGAAUAUUGGGCAAUGGGCGAAAGCCUGACCCAGCAACGCCGCGUGAAGGAAGAAGGUCUUCGGAUCGUAAACUUCUAUCCUUGGUGAAGAUAAUGACGGUAGCCGAGAAGGAAGCCCCGGCUAACUACGUGCCAGCAGCCGCGGUAAUACGUAGGGGGCAAGCGUUGUCCGGAAUGAUUGGGCGUAAAGGGCGCGUAGGCGGCCUGGUAAGUCUGGAGUGAAAGUCCUGCUUUUAAGGUGGGAAUUGCUUUGGAUACUGUCGGGCUUGAGUGCAGGAGAGGUAAGUGGAAUUCCCGGUGUAGCGGUGAAAUGCGUAGAGAUCGGGAGGAACACCAGUGGCGAAGGCGACUUACUGGACUGUAACUGACGCUGAGGCGCGAAAGUGUGGGGAGCAAACAGGAUUAGAUACCCGUGUAGUCC
RNAcentral lists this ribosomal RNA (425 nucleotides) under uncultured bacterium. Its description in RNAcentral is "partial 16S ribosomal RNA". It matches the Rfam family "Bacterial small subunit ribosomal RNA", at positions 354 to 796 of the family's 1533-position model. The record is from RNAcentral.